Molecule: ribosomal RNA, 200 nt
Filed under: uncultured bacterium
Lineage: Bacteria
Description: partial 16S ribosomal RNA
Rfam family: Bacterial small subunit ribosomal RNA
Source: RNAcentral
AAUCAACGCUGGCGGCGUGCCUAACACAUGCAAGUCGAACGAGAAAGUGGAGCAAUCCAUGAGUACAGUGGCGCACGGGUGAGUAACACGUGACUAACCUACCCUUGAGUGGGGAAUAACUUCGGGAAACCGAGGCUAAUACCGCAUAACACCUACGGGUCAAAGGAAGCAAUUCGCUCGAGGAGGGGUCGGCGGCCGGA